Non-coding RNA from Epinephelus lanceolatus (giant grouper), 279 nucleotides. Lineage: Eukaryota; Metazoa; Chordata; Actinopteri; Perciformes; Serranidae. The record is from RefSeq and is a predicted model, not a curated record.
GAAAGAAGACAACGAAGAAGAGGAGGAACACCUGCAUUACAGGACCAAAAUCUGACCACAACAAGAGCAUCCUCUGCUAAGGUAGGCUGAACCAAAAGAGAAGGACAACUAAGACAAAACAACUUCAAACUGACGAUGAGCCAGUUUUCGAGGGGGUGGACAGAAGGACUCUUACACACUUCCUUUAAUACGAUGUUUCUUACCUUAGAAGAAGCAGGAGGAGUUUGUUCGUCAGCAGCAGGGUCCGUCUCUUCCAGUUUCUCCUUUAAUCUGUUUUUC